Long non-coding RNA from Mauremys mutica (yellowpond turtle), 591 nucleotides. RefSeq lists it as uncharacterized. The transcript is spliced from 4 exons. The record is from RefSeq and is a predicted model, not a curated record. NCBI's taxonomy places the organism in Eukaryota, Metazoa, Chordata, Testudines, Geoemydidae.
UCCAGUGUCACAUGUGUACUGUAAAGGGCAAAGAAGAAAAAGGAGCAGCUACUGCUGUAUCUAGUUCAGUGUCCUCCUUGCUGAGUUCUGGCUCUCUUUCUAGAACCUGCUGUUUGUGGUCACCAUGUUAUAAGGAGUUCCAAAGGGCUGGAAUGUACUCAGUGCAGAUUGAGUAGAUGACUUCUGGUGCACAGAUGGAGAUGAACAGAUAGCUGGACGUGUCUCAGAUCUGCCACGGCUACCAGUCGAAUCCGGACCUCGAACUGCGCUUUGGUGGGACACAGAACAACACAGAAGGAACAUGGAUCUGGAUAUAGGAGAUGGUCUUCCAGGUGACAGGAAGGUUCACUUCAACAUGGAGAAUAUAUUUGGAAGGUCAGGUCAGUUGUAGACUGUAGAAACAGGCUAGGUGGGAAUAAUGUCUUAUUAUGACACUGAAGAACCAGCAUUUCUCCUAGAUUUUCAACUCAUCACUGUGGUCUCUGGCCUCUGUAAAUUCCAACUUUACAUUUGUUCCUGUCACACCGUAUCUUUAGGUUCAUGUAUGCAAAGUAUAACUGCAGAAUGAGUGCCCUGAAAGAUUGCUCAGUU